RNAcentral lists this non-coding RNA (31 nucleotides) under Mus musculus (house mouse). The record is from RNAcentral. Lineage: Eukaryota; Metazoa; Chordata; Mammalia; Rodentia; Muridae.
CCNGGCUGCUGAAAGAAUAAAGACUUCUUUU